This 72-nucleotide transfer RNA is filed under the name Bos taurus (domestic cattle). It matches the Rfam family "tRNA". Rfam says of the family: Transfer RNA (tRNA) molecules are approximately 80 nucleotides in length. Lineage: Eukaryota; Metazoa; Chordata; Mammalia; Artiodactyla; Bovidae. RNAcentral also lists the same sequence under 5 other names. The record is from Rfam by way of RNAcentral.
ACCCUGGUGGUCCAGUGGUUAGGACUCAGGGCUUUCACUGCUGUGGCCUGGGUUCAAUCCCUGGUCAGGGAA